Molecule: ribosomal RNA, 496 nt
Filed under: uncultured bacterium
Lineage: Bacteria
Description: partial 16S ribosomal RNA
Rfam family: Bacterial small subunit ribosomal RNA
Source: RNAcentral
AUUGAACGCUGGCGGAAUGCUUUACACAUGCAAGUCGAACGGUAGAGGGGGCAACCCCUCGAGAGUGGCGAACGGGUGAGUAAUAUAUCGGAACGUGCCCAGUCGUGGGGGAUAACGUAGCGAAAGUUACGCUAAUACCGCAUACGAUCUAAGGAUGAAAGCGGGGGAUCGCAAGACCUCGCGCGAUUGGAGCGGCCGAUAUCAGAUUAGGUAGUUGGUGGGGGAAAGGCUCACCAAGCCAACGAUCUGUAGCUGGUCUGAGAGGACGACCAGCCCACAUGGAACUGAGACACGGUCCAGACUCCUACGGGAGGCAGCAGUGGGGAAUUUUGGACAAUGGGCGCGAGCCUGAUCCAGCCAUUCCGCGUGAGUGAAGAAGGCCUUCGGGUUGUAAAGCUCUUACGCAAGGGAAGAAAACUUAGCCACUAACAUUGGUUGAGGUUGACGGUACCUUGAUAAGAAGCACCGGCUAACUACGUGCCAGCAGCCGCCGUAA